GAUAGGAGAAUGACAAAUUAUAUUUUUCUCCCUAAUUUUCAGCUUAUUCCCCUAAAAAAAUUCAAAUCUAACUAAAAAUGUUAAAAAUUAAGAGGAAAAAAUAUGAUUUGUCAUUUUCCUAUU
This is a non-coding RNA of Gossypium raimondii (Peruvian cotton), 123 nucleotides long. NCBI's taxonomy places the organism in Eukaryota, Viridiplantae, Streptophyta, Magnoliopsida, Malvales, Malvaceae. The record is from Rfam.